Molecule: non-coding RNA, 69 nt
Organism: Acinetobacter sp.
Lineage: Bacteria; Pseudomonadati; Pseudomonadota; Gammaproteobacteria; Moraxellales; Moraxellaceae
Source: Rfam
AAGCGAAACACAGGCAUCCGUGCCUGUGUCUGCCAGAUGUCGUGAUCUGGUACUGACGAGCAGCGAGAU